Molecule: ribosomal RNA, 425 nt
Filed under: uncultured bacterium
Lineage: Bacteria
Description: partial 16S ribosomal RNA
Rfam family: Bacterial small subunit ribosomal RNA
Source: RNAcentral
UGCUGAAUUAUUCGCCAAUGCGCGAAAGCGUGACGGUGCGACGCCGCGUGCAGGAUGAAGGCCUUCGGGUUGUAAACUGCUGUCAGAGUGUAGAAAACGUUGUGAGUUAAUAGUCCAUUACUUGAUCACAUUCAAAGGAAGCACAGGCUAAUCUCGUGCCAGCAGCCGCGGUAAUACGAGAUGUGCAAGCGUUGUUCGGAAUUACUGGGCAUAAAGGGUGCGUAGGCGGUCUGCCAAGUCAGCGGUGAAAUCCCCCGGCUCAACCGGGGAACUGCCGUUGAUACUAGUAGGCUAGGGGUCCAAAGGGGUCAGUGGAAUUCCAGGUGUAGCGGUGGAAUGCGUAGAUAUCUGGGAGAACGCCAAAGGCGAAGGCAACUGACUGGGUGGAAUCCGACGCUGAGGCACGAAAGCUAGGGGAGCAAACA